GGAACACUCUGGAACAACCACAGGAGGGAUGGGACAGGGAGGAGCUUGGAACAUUCAGGAACAACCACAGCAUGGAUGGGAGAGCUUGGAACACCCAGGAACAACCACAGGGAGGAGCUGGGAACACCCAGGAACAACCACAGGAGCAACAGGAAAGUCCUGAGCUGUCCCCGGAGUCCUGGGCUGCCCCCAGAGUCACCCUGAGGAGGCAGCAGGACCUGGAAGGCUCCUGGGAGGAGAUUGGAUCUGCCAGAUCCGAUAGGGGAAUGUCCCGGCCCAGCCCACGGGACAGACUAAACUGUUGUGGUUGUCCCAGACGUGAUGCUUCAGAAAUGUGAAAACAAAGAGGGUUUAUCAGACAGUUCCUAAACAUUCCCCCCCCCCCAUGGAGGUUGAGGCUCCACAGCUGCUGCUGCCCCAGGAAUGCUCUGGGAGCACCAAAGCUCAGCCUUCCUGGGCAGUUUUGCUGCUUAAAGCCCAACAGAAGCCACGGCUGCUUCCAGACACUGCUCCAUGUGCUGGUCCUUCCUUAACAGGUGGGGGCUUCCCAAACUCUGCCCGAGGCAAAGAGAGGGAUGGGAAUGGCCCCUCAGCCCUGGAGAGUGAACAGCAGCAAUAAAUGAGGACACACAGCCAUGGGGGCAGAUCUCUGCAAGAGCUGGGUCAUCCAGGACAUUUCUGGACCACAUGGACUGUGUGGGAUCAUGGAAUCGUGGAACGGGCCGGGUGGGAAGGGACCUUAAAGCUCAUCCUGUCCCACGGGCAGGGGCACCUUCCAUGGCCCAGGUGGCUCCAGGCCCAUCUAACCCGGCCUUGGACACUUCCAGGGGUGGGGCAGCCACAGCUUCUCUGGGAAUUCCAUCCCAGCCCCUCCCCACCCUCUCGGGGAGGGAUUUCUCCCCAAUAUCUUCCCUAAACCUUCUGUUUUCUGGUUUAAAGUCACCUGUGCAGCAAGGGAAGGGACUCCCUUCUUCCCAGCCAGCUCUGGAACGAGGCUGCAGCCCCAAAAAUCCCCAAAUUGUGUGGAAAAACCAGAUAGAAAAAACUGUUUGAGGCUCCUCACGUUUCUUUGACACCCAGGGCCGUGCUGGGAGCAAGACCUGACAAGCCUCAGGUGUGGAUUCCAGCGGGAAGAAUCCAUUCCCAAAGCCGCAGCUUCCUGGUCCGUGAGGAGCCAAACAGGAGCAGCAGGUAAAUCUCGUGGGAUGUUUGUGGACCCAGAGCCGAGCGGGAGUCGCGCGGUCCCGAUGGAAUGGGAGGGAUGGAAGGAGCCUGUGGUGGCCUGGCAGGUUCGGCUGUUUGGGACACUCUAAUUCCAAGUAUUGUUGGAAACACCUUAAACUGGGGCCUGAAGGGAAACAUGAACCUGGGAUCUUGUCACCUUUGCUCAUGGGAUGAGAUGGAAAACCAGCUGAGGAUGUUGUUGGAAAGGGACCAAGGCAACACUCCACUCCCCCGAACAACCAAAACGUUACUUUUAAUCCCAAUUCUGGUAAAUAAAUGCCUGAGAUACCCCGGCAAGAUCUUUCUGGCGCCAGAUUCCAGGAUGACAUAAGGAAAUACAUCCCACUCUGGGUCGGAAUAUCUUAAUUACUGUGAUUUUCCAGGUGGGAGAAGCUGGAUGUGGGAGCCAUCCCUUUGAUCCCACGAGCUCUUGGAGCUGCUUAAGGGUCUUCCUCCCCUUCUUCCUCCCCCUCUU
This is a long non-coding RNA of Corapipo altera (White-ruffed manakin), 1699 nucleotides long. RefSeq lists it as uncharacterized. The record is from RefSeq and is a predicted model, not a curated record. Lineage: Eukaryota; Metazoa; Chordata; Aves; Passeriformes; Pipridae. The transcript is spliced from 4 exons.